AAAAGUAUUAGUAAAAUAUGAGAGCCCCUUGAGACAGGGCUGCAAAUGGAAUUAGAACCCUAGAUUAUAUAAUCCAUUGCCACAACUUGAUUCCCAUAUUCAUUCCCUGAUGAAUUCAUUCAAAUUUUCAAAUCCCAUCAAAGAUCAUAUAAGUCAUGAUUAUGCCCGAUUGUUAAAGUAUAACAUAUCCCAAUCAUACUCGUCUUAUCGAUAGAGUUCAGCGAAGUACCUGAAUUACCACUUACAAGUGGGUUACCCUUUUUUACAUUAUGGUAUUUACCAUAUUUGUUCAAAUCAUUCUCCAAAUUUGCUUAUCCUGUGCUACAAAAAUUCUUAAGCACAUAUAUUAGUAAACAUAUGAGAGCCCUUUGAGAUGGGGCCGUAAACUCAUUGCAAAGAUAACCCAAAACUUCGAUCGUGUAAACUAUUGCCACGCCUUUGUUCAUGACAAAAAUCAUAUUAUUACAAACAAGUGGUCCCCCUACAGAACGUUCAACAUAUCACAAGUAUUUUUGAGUCAACACAGCGAUAUGGAACUAAAAACAUAUCAGAUUACCCCGUAAGCCACAACAAGCAUACCUCUCAUAUACAAUCCUAGCAGAGAAAAUGAUACAAAGAUACUCAUCCGGUAGAGAUAAUGAUUAUUAGUUAUUACUACUCUCAAUUAAGGUCAUGAGAUUCUCCCUUCCCGUAAUUCAAUUCUCACCAAUUGGAUAAAAAGCAAAUUUAGAAAGUACCUCCACCUUAAUCCCUUUUUCUUCGUUAAUCUUAUUUUGUGGAUAAGAUUGUGAGCCUCUGUAAACUCAAUGGAAUCCAAUACUCCCUUGACAGCCAACUUCAACCUUAAUUUCAAUUUCCACUAGUUCGUCAUCUUCCCCAUCAAAUGUUCUGUGAAUGUAAAACAACAGUCAACGACUCUUGAGCAAAAUAACAUCAAUCGGAAAUGGAAAUGGGGCCUCUAGAUUUCUACGAAAGAGAGCAUAAUUAUCAGCAGAGAUAAAACUUAAAAGAGAGAAAUAGAGAAAUGGCCAUGAUCGUGGGAGCUUUUCCCCGGAGCUGCGCUAGAAAUCAGGUGCCAAGAGUUCAGAAAUGUCGGCUGCCUCAGGAGGCACGGCGGAGGCCGCCGGAGUUUUCUUCGCUGACGUCGCUCAGGCCGCCAGAGUUUUCUUCCCUGACGUCGCUGGUUCAAUUCUGUCUUUUUCCCGACGUGAUUUGAGAUGGAAAUCUGAGAACCCAGAUUGAAAGGGGGCGAUAUGGGUGAUUCAGAUCGAAAUUUGAAUUGAACAAUUCCCCUAACAUUUAAAUCUUAGGGAAAAUGCUAGAAUUGGGGAUCUUUGAGGCAUGGUGACGGAGUCUGGAGUUUAGGAGCGGCCGCAGCCAUUAUUUGCUUAAAUUUGAGGUGGAGAUAAGGCCGGUGGAGAUAAUUGUGGCAGCUAGCAGCCGGUGUUGCUUGUACACCAGGCGGCGAUGAUAUAGACCGGCGAUUUGCUCGCUUGACAUGCGAUAUCUGGGAGGUGGCGAUUUUUGCUGGAAAUUUUAUGAAGAAGAGAGAGAGAUCACCGAUUCAACAGAAAAACAGAAUAAUCGGAGAGAACUGCCCCCUUUUGGAGACAAAACUGGAAUUGAAAAUUAAUCGGCCCGUUGUGGCCGGAAACUGGAAAAUAACCCCCAUCGGAAAACUUCGAGGAUUGGAUCUUCAAUUUUUUUUGGCGAUGAACAGUAGCUUCGAUGAACAGUA
RNAcentral lists this long non-coding RNA (1738 nucleotides) under Salvia miltiorrhiza (redroot sage). RNAcentral's name for it is "long non-coding RNA (SMIL_LNC002506)". The record is from RNAcentral. Lineage: Eukaryota; Viridiplantae; Streptophyta; Magnoliopsida; Lamiales; Lamiaceae.